RNAcentral lists this long non-coding RNA (247 nucleotides) under Gossypium barbadense (sea-island cotton). RNAcentral describes it as "long non-coding RNA (GBAR_LNC005137)". The record is from RNAcentral. Lineage: Eukaryota; Viridiplantae; Streptophyta; Magnoliopsida; Malvales; Malvaceae.
UGAGUUCAAGGCUCUUUACCAUGGUUCACAAUUAGCAUGUCCUAUCAUAGGCAUCACCCAUAUCGUUAGGCUAGUUAGCAACUAAUAUGCCCUCCCAAACAUAACACACAUGCCAAUUGGUUAGUAACUAACAUACCUUACUUAUGGUCGCCAAAUUGGUUAGCAACUAUCAUGUCCUACUGGUGACCCAUCAUACAUUCCCAUCUGGUUAACAACCAACAUGCUCUACCAAUGGUCACACUUAUUU